CCACCACCACCACCUUCCUCCCGCCCCACCCCCGACCUCCACUGCCUUCUGCCGCCGGGGCCGCCAAGCGCCGUGCCGCCGUCCGACCCAGCCACCUCCAACACCUGGCGCAACCAGCGCCGCCGCUCAACCACCAGCAUCCGCGCGUGCCGCCGUCCACACCAACCUGCGCGCCGCCGCCGCUCUGUUCAUCACCACCCAAGGCGACCUGGCUACCUCCAACCGUCGCCGCCCUGCCGAAUCCGGUGAGAUCCGGCCGCUCGGGUGACCCGGCUACCUCCAACCGCCGCUGCCCUGCCGGAUCCGGCGAGAUCUGGCCGCCCCGCCAUGGCUCGCCCCCUACCCCGACGACCUCCUACUACGUAAGUGCGCCAUGGCUCGGCCACGACCUCCCUGCUACGCCGCUGUGGUCGGCCCCGACCCCCAUGGAUCGGCUGCCCCCGCACCUUUCUCCUACUGAUAGGCGGCGGACACCCCUCCCUCCCCUCCCCAGCCUCCCUGCUGCUGGAUCCAGUGCGUGCUGUUGUGCGCUCCUCCAUCUAGUGCAGUGCCCGCGCUGCUGGCGUGCAGUGCUGACGGAUCUGGCAUGCAGUGCAGUGCGCCCCCAACACUUGGUCACGCGUUCUGCUGUUCGUUUCUCGCAGGCGUGCAGCUCGUCCCCCGCGCGGCGUGCAGCUCUACUCUGCCUCGAUGGAACUGCGCCUCCACCUAGUGGUUGUUCAGUUUUGUUUCCACAUCAUGGCCACAAGUGCAGGUUCUCUCGGUUGCAGCUCGGUUGGGUCGUCGCUGAAGUAUGGAGGCACUUGAGAAGUUUAGAACCAUUAGCAACCAUAGAAUCUUCAGUUUUGCAGUAAAGUCUGUAGUGUAGUGCAGUUAACUACUGGGGAACAACACCGGCAAGGCGUGCAAAAAAAUAGGACGACAGGCAGCGACGUAGCCGUGCAGCUCGCUGGUCAUGGUGCGCGAUUCUGGCUGUGCCGACAAGCAGUACAUGGCCACGCCUGCGUCCUAGUGGUGUAGUCCAGUGUCCGCGGAACAUACAGCUCGCUAGCUCAUUGCACGCGGUUCCGGCGGCGCGGGAAAGCAGUACAAGGCCGCGCGCGUGUCUGAGUGGUGCAGCUCGGUGCUCUUGUCCGUGCAGUUUGCUGUUGUAUUCGACAACAAUGGCAACAAAAGCUUGGUCCCCGGGAAGGCAUCAAACAGGGGCGUUCGACGGCGACCUGCUCCCGGCCGACUGCAAGGACAAAGGCCGUGUGGCCUCGCGGGUGCAGUUCGCUCCACUUCUCGAUGGGGUUCGCUAGCCCCGGUGCUGCAGUGCGCCUCGAGGUUUUCUUCUCCUUGGGUGCGUGAAGGUUUGUCCGUCGUGCGGGCGUGAACAUGCAGUUCACCGGGGACCUACAGAAGAAAGAAAAUCAUUUUAUUUAUUUUCACUUUUUUCUUGAAUGUGCGAGAAAAAAUGUAGAGGUAUGUAAAAUUGGUACAGUCCGUUGGUGCACUCCUUGCGGCUCACGUGGCUCGUGUUUGAAGUUUUUUGUUGUAUUUUAUUUUUUGACCUCUUUUCUAGAAAGAGUUUGUUGAAAGCAUGAUGCAGUUUUCACUGUUAAAAAACCUUGGUGGUUUUCUUUGUAAAAAAUGGACCGUGUAGUCUAGAUGACUUGAAAAAAAAGUCAGAAAAUGAUGAAAAAAUGCAUGCAGAUAGUUUUUUA
Triticum dicoccoides is the source of this 1706-nucleotide long non-coding RNA. RefSeq lists it as uncharacterized. Lineage: Eukaryota; Viridiplantae; Streptophyta; Magnoliopsida; Poales; Poaceae. The transcript is spliced from 2 exons. The record is from RefSeq and is a predicted model, not a curated record.